GCGCCUCCAGCCAUGGUGGAGGAGCGGCGCACAGCUCAGUAACACGCGGCUAACCUACCCUUGGGACAGGGAUAACUCCGGGAAACUGGAGCUAAUCCCUGAUAGGUGAGGAUUCCUGGAAUGGAUCCUCGCCGAAAGGGCGUCUAGACCAUGCUUCUAGACGUCGCCUAAGGAUGGGGCCGCGGCCGAUCAGGUUGUUGGUGAGGUAACGGCUCACCAAGCCUAUAACCGGUACGGGCCGUGAGAGCGGGAGCCCGGAGAUGGACACUGAGACAAGGGUCCAGGCCCUACGGGGCGCAGCAGUCGCGAAACCUCCGCAAUACGCGAAAGCGUGACGGGGCCAUCCCGAGUGCCGUCCGCUGAGGACGGCUUUUCCCCAGUGUAUACAGCUGGGGGAAUAAGGAGAGGGCAAGCCGGGUGUCAGCCGCCGCGGUAAUACCCGCUCUCCGAGUGGUGGGGACGCUUAUUGGGCCUAAAGCAUCCGUAGCCGGCUGGACAAGUCCCCUGUUAAAUCCAACGAUUCAAUCGUUGGACUGCGGGGGAUACUGUCCAGCUAGGGGGCGGGAGAGGCCGACGGUAUCCCCGGGGUAGGGGUGAAAUCUUAUAAUCCCGGGAGGACCACCAGUGGCGAAGGCUGUCGGCUGGAACGCGCCCGACGGUGAGGGAUGAAAGCUGGGGGAGCGAACCGGAUUAGAUACCCGGGUAGUCCCAGCCGUAAACGAUGCAGGCUAGGUGUUAGCGCGGCUACAAGCCGCGCUAGUGCCGCA
This 767-nucleotide ribosomal RNA is filed under the name uncultured archaeon. Its description in RNAcentral is "bacterial SSU rRNA". It matches the Rfam family "Archaeal small subunit ribosomal RNA", at positions 55 to 805 of the family's 1478-position model. The record is from RNAcentral.